This is a non-coding RNA of Cinara cedri, 398 nucleotides long. Lineage: Eukaryota; Metazoa; Arthropoda; Insecta; Hemiptera; Aphididae. The record is from the annotation of a GenBank genome assembly.
CAUGAAACAAUAACUGUUAUGGAAUUGUUUGAUGAUUACCUAUUCAUUAAAUAUUAACCUGUAAUUUUUAAGAUGUAAAAAAAGAUAGCCUUCUACUAUAUCAGUUGUAGUAGUAUUUUAAAUUUCUUGUUAAAAUGUAUUAUUAGAAGCAAUUCUAAUUGUAAACAAUUAUAUUGUACAUAUUAUAAGGUUGUCGCAAUAUGGAAUCAUUGAAAUUCCCUAAUUUUCAUACUCAGCAUUUCAGCCAUGAUAAAGCAAAAUGGUACCUAUAGUAAUCAGAAAUGUCUAGCAAAUGAGAGUUUAAAAAUAAUAAAUAUAAACAUCUCAAAAAAAAUAUGUCCAAAAUUUGCAUUAAUAAAUAUAGGUACUCAUUCCAGGGAUUAUAUGAAUUGCACAAG